GUCUACAGCCAUACCACCCUGAACGCGCCCAAUCUUGUCUGAACUCGGAAGCUAAGCAGGGUCGGGCCUGGUUAGUACUUGGAUAGGAAACUGCCUGGAAAUACCGGGUGCUGUAGGCU
Ribosomal RNA from Cavia aperea (Brazilian guinea pig), 119 nucleotides. The record is from Ensembl. NCBI's taxonomy places the organism in Eukaryota, Metazoa, Chordata, Mammalia, Rodentia, Caviidae.